Molecule: ribosomal RNA, 245 nt
Filed under: uncultured bacterium
Lineage: Bacteria
Description: partial 16S ribosomal RNA
Rfam family: Bacterial small subunit ribosomal RNA
Source: RNAcentral
GACGUAGGGGGCAAGCGUUGUCCGGAGUUACUGGGCGUAAAGGGCACGCAGGCGGUCUGCUGCGUUCAGCGUGACAGGCUCCGGCUUAACUGGAGCAGGGUGCUGAAAACGAGGAGACUGGAGGGCAAGCGAGGGACAUGGAACUCCGGGUGGAGCGGUGAAAUGCGUAGAGACCCGGAAGAACACCGAAGGCGAAGGCAGUGUCCUGGCUUGUCACUGACGCUCAGGUGCGAAAGCUAGGGGAG